This is an RNA transcript of Choloepus didactylus (southern two-toed sloth), 5370 nucleotides long. It is a transcript of the gene named PTPRF interacting protein alpha 4, with no coding region annotated. The transcript has 32 exons. Lineage: Eukaryota; Metazoa; Chordata; Mammalia; Pilosa; Megalonychidae. The record is from RefSeq and is a predicted model, not a curated record.
CUCCGGCUGCGGCGGCCGCGGCUGCAGCUCCGUCGGCGCCCCGCUCGGCGGCCUAGGGACGUGUCCAGCUCCGCUGGUCGGGGGCGGCUCUCUGCUGCUUCCGAGCCCGCCGUCCGGCCUUCCGCGAUUGCAGGCAGACCUACUCAGACUUGACGCACUGCCCUCCAGAAAUGAUGGGUGUCGCUGGACCCAGCCGGGACUCUGUCAGGCUCUGGCGUGCAGUCUGAGAGAAGGGCAUUCUUUUUAGCCCUGGCAUUCCUGCCUGUCAUGGCCACACUCGGCUGCUGCCCACUUGUCUGGGGACUCAGGGCACCCAGCCCCAGCCCUGAGAGGCAAAACCAGGCCUUUUGGCUCCAUUCUACAGGGGCCCUCCGGGCACCAGGCCUCUUUCAAAGCACGAGCAACUGAUGCCAUGGGAGAACCCCAGCCCACCUGCCCACUCGCCUGGCACUACCCGCUCUGAGACCCAGGCACUGGGUCCCGCUGGAGGUGCCAACUCUGCGAGCCCCUCCCCUGUCCCCCGACGCUGAGAAGGCCCCACCCACCCCCAAACAUGUGUGAGGUGAUGCCCACAAUCAAUGAGGGGGACACCCUGGGGCCCCCCCAUGGCGCCGAUGCCGACGCCAACUUUGAGCAGCUGAUGGUGAACAUGCUGGAUGAGCGGGAGAAGUUGCUGGAGUCCCUGCGGGAGAGUCAGGAGACUUUGGCGGCCACGCAGAGCCGGCUCCAGGAUGCCCUGCACGAGCGGGACCAGCUCCAGCGCCACCUUAACUCUGCCCUCCCCCAGGAAUUUGCCACCCUAACCCGGGAGCUGAGCAUGUGUCGGGAGCAGCUUCUGGAGCGGGAGGAAGAAAUAUCAGAGCUGAAAGCAGAACGGAACAACACCAGGCUGCUUCUGGAACAUCUGGAGUGCCUGGUGUCCCGGCACGAGCGGUCGCUGCGGAUGACUGUGGUGAAGCGUCAGGCCCAGUCCCCGUCGGGGGUCUCCAGCGAGGUGGAGGUGCUGAAGGCCCUCAAGUCGCUGUUUGAGCACCACAAGGCCCUGGAUGAGAAGGUGCGAGAGCGGCUCCGAGCAGCACUGGAGCGAGUAACCACCUUGGAGGAGCAGCUGGCAGGUGCCCAUCAGCAGGUGUCUGCCCUGCAGCAGGGGGCAGGGGUUCGGGAUGGAGUGGCAGAGGAGGAGGGGGCUGUGGAGCUGGGACCGAAACGCCUGUGGAAGGAGGAUGCAGGCCGGGUUGAGGAGCUGCAGGAGCUCCUGGAGAAGCAGAACUUUGAGUUGAGCCAGGCACGGGAGCGACUGGUCAGCCUGACAGCAACUGUGACCGAACUUGAGGAGGACCUGGGCACGGCCCGCCGGGACCUCAUCAAGUCAGAGGAGCUGAGUGGCAAGCAUCAGCGGGACCUCCGGGAGGCUGUGGCCCAGAAGGAGGACAUGGAGGAGCGAAUCACCACCCUGGAGAAGCGCUACCUGGCUGCUCAGCGUGAGGCCACAUCCAUCCAUGACCUCAACGACAAACUGGAGAAUGAGCUGGCCAACAAGGAGUCUCUACACCGCCAGUGUGAGGAAAAGGCCCGACACCUACAGGAACUGCUGGAGGUGGCAGAGCAGAAGCUGCAGCAGACGAUGCGCAAGGCAGAGACGCUGCCGGAGGUGGAGGCUGAGCUGGCCCAGAGAAUUGCAGCCCUCACCAAGGCUGAGGAACGGCAUGGCAGCAUUGAGGAGCACCUGCGGCAGCUGGAGGGGCAGCUGGAGGAGAAGAACCAGGAGCUGGCAAGGGUGCGCCAACGGGAGAAGAUGAACGAGGACCACAACAAGCGGCUGUCGGACACCGUGGACCGGCUGCUUAGCGAGUCAAACGAGCGCCUGCAGCUCCACCUCAAGGAGCGCAUGGCAGCCCUGGAGGAGAAGAACACGUUGAUCCAGGAGUUGGAGAGCUCCCAGCGGCAGAUUGAGGAGCAGCACCACCACAAGGGCCGCCUGUCUGAAGAGAUUGAGAAGCUGCGCCAAGAGGUGGACCAGCUGAAGGGUCGAGGGGGGCCGUUUGUGGAUGGCAUCCACUCCAGGUCCCAUGUGGGCAGUGCAGCAGACGUGCGGUUCUCCCUGAGCACAACCACUCAUGCGCCCCCAGUUCUGCAUCGCCGUCACUCGGCACUGCGGGAAGAGUCUGCCAAGGACUGGGAACCAUCUCCACUGCCUGGGGUACUGGCUCCCACGGCCACCCCUGCCUUUGACAGUGACCCUGAGAUCUCCGAUGUGGAUGAGGACGAACCAGGGGGCCUGGUGGGCUCCAUGGAGGUUGUCUCUCCUAGCGGCCACUCAGAUGCACAGACCCUGGCCAUGAUGUUGCAGGAGCAGCUGGAUGCCAUCAAUGAGGAGAUCAGGAUGAUCCAGGAAGAGAAGGAGUCCACCGAGCUCCGCGCUGAGGAGAUCGAGACACGAGUGACCAGUGGCAGCAUGGAGGCUCUAAACCUGACGCAGCUGCGCAAACGUGGUUCCAUCCCUACCUCUCUGACUGCCCUGUCCCUGGCAAGCGCGUCCCCCCCACUCAGCGGCCGCUCCACACCUAAGCUUACCUCCCGCAGCGCUGCCCAGGACCUGGACCGAAUGGGGGUCAUGACCCUGCCCAGUGACUUAAGAAAGCAUAGGAGGAAGCUGCUGUCGCCAGUGUCUCGGGAAGAGAACCGAGAGGAUAAAGCCACCAUAAAAUGUGAGACUUCUCCUCCUUCCUCACCCAGGACGCUGCGACUAGAGAAGCUUGGCCACCCAGCCCUGAGCCAGGAAGAAGGCAAGAGUUCCUUGGAGGAUCAGGGCAGCAACCCCAGCAGCAGCAACAGCAGCCAGGACUCCUUACACAAGGGUGCCAAGCGCAAGGGCAUCAAGUCAUCCAUCGGCCGACUGUUCGGGAAGAAGGAGAAGGGCAGGCUGAUCCAGCUGAGCCGGGAUGGAGCCACGGGCCAUGUUACGCUAAUAGACUCUGAGCUCAAUCUGCAGGAGCCCUUGGUGCCUGCCAAGCUGGGGACCCAGACAGAGAAGGACCGGCGGCUGAAGAAGAAACACCAGCUGCUUGAAGAUGCCCGCAGGAAAGGAAUGCCCUUUGCUCAGUGGGAUGGGCCUACUGUGGUCUCCUGGCUAGAGCUCUGGGUGGGGAUGCCUGCCUGGUACGUGGCAGCCUGCCGGGCCAACGUCAAGAGUGGUGCCAUCAUGUCUGCCCUGUCGGAUACCGAGAUCCAGCGGGAGAUCGGCAUCAGCAAUGCCCUGCACCGGCUCAAGCUCCGGCUGGCCAUCCAGGAGAUGGUGUCGCUGACCAGCCCCUCAGCCCCACCUACCUCCAGGACUUCUUCUGGGAACGUCUGGGUCACUCAUGAAGAGAUGGAAACUCUAGCAACAUCCACUAAGACAGACAGUGAGGAGGGCAGCUGGGCUCAGACCCUGGCCUAUGGGGACAUGAACCACGAAUGGAUUGGGAACAAGUGGCUGCCCAGCCUGGGGCUCCCCCAGUACCGCAGCUACUUCAUGGAGUGCCUGGUGGAUGCCCGCAUGCUGGAUCACCUCACCAAGAAGGACCUGCGUGUCCACCUGAAGAUGGUAGACAGCUUCCAUCGAACCAGUCUUCAGUAUGGUAUCAUGUGUCUGAAGAGGUUGAAUUAUGAUCGGAAGGAGCUGGAGAAGAGACGAGAGGAGAGUCAGCACGAGAUCAAGGAUGUGCUGGUCUGGACCAAUGACCAGAUGGUUCACUGGGUCCAGUCUAUUGGGCUUCGGGACUAUGCGGGAAACCUGCAGGAGAGUGGCGUGCAUGGUGCCCUGCUGGCCCUGGAUGAGAACUUCGACCACAACACACUGGCUCUGGUCCUCCAGAUUCCCACGCAGAACACUCAGGCACGCCAGGUGAUGGAGAGAGAGUUCAACAACCUGUUGGCCUUGGGGACUGACCGGAAGUUGGAUGACGGAGACGACAAGGUGUUCCGCCGCGCACCCUCCUGGAGGAAACGCUUCCGUCCACGGGACCACCACAGCGGCGGUAUGCUCGGCGCCUCGGCCGAGACCCUCCCCGCAGGCUUCCGCGUGUCCACCCUGGGGCCCUUGCAGCCCCCACCGGCCCCGCCAAAGAAGAUCAUGCCUGAAGCCGGGACGGCGGGGGCGCAGAGACUGGAGACCUCCACGGUUCGGACCUACUCUUGCUGACCCCCUACCCUCCCGCCCCGGGUCUGACGGGGGUGUGCCCGUGGCUCGGGCUCACUCCCACUAUCUCUACGGACACAUGCUCUCCGCCUUUCGGGACUAGCCACGGCCCCCCCAGGGCCAGCUCCUUCCUUCUGGCCUUCACAGGCUCUGCCGACCCAGACCUCUCCUGCUCGUUCCCCUUCCUCCCAUGGCGCCUAGUCUCGUCUGUGACUUUCCAGUUGCCCUGGAUCUCAGAAUAUUCGCGUCCACCCCUUCGGCAUCCCACUACCACUAGUCCCACCCUGUGCCCUUUGUGCCUGGAGGUAUUUGAGACUCAAGUUCUGGAUGGAACCCAGGGCUUCAUCUAAUAAGAGGAGAGAGAAAGCUUCUGGAGCAUGUUUCUUGGAGUGGGGCCAGUGCAAUGCCAUCCUACAGGUGACUGGAGCAGCUGGUUUGCAACCUGCUUCACUUGGGUUCUGAGUGGGGAUUAGGCUAGCAGGUGGGCUAAUGGGUCACAGCACCCUGUCCAGAGGGAGUGAUGGAACCUGGGACAGUGCCAGGGCUUCGGGGCCUUCUGCUAGUUUUCAGUAGAGGAGAGGCCCGCCUGUGGUGGUGUCAGGCAGGCUGUCCUCUAGGCUUGGGCAAGGCAACCACCUGCCCUUAGCCUCUCUCACUGUUCCUGCCCUCUCUGUCAGGCUGCUGGAAAUGGAGCAGGAGCAAAAAAUGAGUUGGUUGGAGAGAAAGAGCUCCCACCCCUGGGUGAUAGAUAUUAAGAUUAUGGAGAAACCCCAGGUUCCUGAUGGUGGACUUUGGGCCCCCAAAGUCAUCUGACUCCUUCCGGGGACUCUUGAUGGGCUAGCUAUAUGGGAGAUUUGGCCUCAGCCUCUCCUCUACAACUUAACUCUAUUAUGGUUUGUCAUGUCAUAAGGCAGCAGCUGGAGGGAUCCAGGUCCGUUCAUGGCAUCUUGGAAAUAUUGCAGGAAGGAGAUGGGGAGGAGAAGUCUGUGCAUACACUAAUGGAAGGCUGUUGUCUUGGUGUAUCCCUUGUCUCAUAGUCAAUAUAUUUUUUAUUUGGAGAGCCUGUCUCACCAGCCUCCUAUAUCUCGUCAGGUCCCUUCUCAGUACUGUACUGACUCAGCAUCAGGAAUGGGUGUGUGGGUGUGUGUGGGUGUGAAUGUGGGUGUGUACGUUCCAAUAAACAACCUGGU